UCCUACGGGGGGCUGCAGUGGGGAAUAUUGCACAAUGGGCGAAAGCCUGAUGCAGCGACGCCGCGUGAGGGAUGACGGCCUUCGGGUUGUAAACCUCUUUCAGUAGGGAAGAAGCGAAAGUGACGGUACCUGCAGAAGAAGCGCCGGCUAACUACGUGCCAGCAGCCGCGGUAAUACGUAGGGCGCAAGCGUUAUCCGGAAUUAUUGGGCGUAAAGAGCUCGUAGGCGGUUUGUCGCGUCUGCCGUGAAAGUCCGGGGCUCAACUCCGGAUCUGCGGUGGGUACGGGCAGACUAGAGUGAUGUAGGGGAGACUGGAAUUCCUGGUGUAGCGGUGAAAUGCGCAGAUAUCAGGAGGAACACCGAUGGCGAAGGCAGGUCUCUGGGCAUUAACUGACGCU
This 398-nucleotide ribosomal RNA is filed under the name Pseudarthrobacter scleromae. RNAcentral describes it as "bacterial SSU rRNA". It matches the Rfam family "Bacterial small subunit ribosomal RNA", at positions 337 to 747 of the family's 1533-position model. Lineage: Bacteria; Bacillati; Actinomycetota; Actinomycetes; Micrococcales; Micrococcaceae. The record is from RNAcentral.